GUGAGCACAGGACGUGAUGACCAGGGCCUGGGAUAGCCAGAUGGGGACCAUUCCAGUGGGGAAACCCAUGGUGAGGGGGAACCCAAAGGCAGGCCCAGCCCCACGGCCGAGCAAAGAGCUCAUUUAGUUGGAGUGGAAGUGGCACAUGUUGGCCCGGGAAGGAAGCAGGGUGGCCCUCCUGCCAGGAUCCCAGGGCUUAGCCCUCAACCCCAAAUAAUGGAAGGGGUAGAGAUCCACGGGUGGCAGAAGUUGGGGGGACGCAGAGGAGAUCAUGAACGUGCUGGGAGCCUUGAGAGAAUUUCUGGAGCCAGAGAAGGACUAGCUCAGAGAACUGAUCAUGAAAGUGUUCCCCUAUCCUCUGCACCUGAGUUCACACCACCUCAAUGCAUUCACACCACCUCAAUGCGUUCACACCACCACAAGCUCAUACCAUACUCGGUCACCCAACUACAAUACUUAACUCUUUCUGUUAAGUAUUCCUGGUUUGCGUAAUGUGCCCUAGUUAUGCAAGAUGUCACCACUGAAGGAAGCUGGGAGAUGGACCAUGGACCUUUCUGUGUCAUUUUUGCAACUUCUUCUGAGUCCAAAAAUUAGUUCAAAAGGAAGGAAAGUGCUAACAAAUUCAUUAAGUAGAAAUUAAUUUAUCAAAGCAUCUCAUGUAACAAUGCAAAGGCCUCCAUGAGUAGUAAGGAUCUAUUAGUCGUUUGCACACUCGUGUGAAUUAGCUGGUUAGAAUUAAUCUUCGCAUGAAACUGAAUGAAGUACUGGAUGGGGGAGGAUGUGGAACAAUACUCAUAUUUGAGGUGAGGGUGCCCUGAGGGCUGGACUGAGAGAUGUAUUCAAUGGGGCUGAGGGUUAGGACAAGCUCUGAGCCUCAGGGCAGAGACUCUGGGAGAGAAAAGGGCCUGGGCUCUGACCUGGAAGGAUAUGUUCCCUCCUGCAGCUCCUCCACCUCUACCCAUUUUGCCACGGGGUCCCGUGGCCCUGGCAGAAAAUGAGCUGCACCCACAGAGCUUUGUUCUCCGGAUCAAGAGUCAUGUUUGUUUUAUGGGCAGCCUGGAAGCAGAAAAAGCUACUUGUUCAACCCAAUUUGACUAUGGGCAGCAAGAUUAUAUUCAUGCUCAAUGACCGCUGCUCAGCUCCAUUUGGGAAAACAAACCUCAGCGACUUGGGAAUGGCUUAGGUUCUGUGUUGCCCUUUGUCAGAGGCUGUGGGGGGCUGUGGGACUGCAGUAAGGGCCUGAGACUCUGCCUCCAGGCCCCCCGAGCAGGGUGGGCUCUCACACAGCCUUGACUUUCUGGGGAGCAGCUAGAGCAAGCUCGAUGAGACAUAUGUUUUUCUUCUGCUUGCAGAGGAAAGAGGCUUGGAUUAAGUUUUGAAAUUUAUUUCAAAUGCCUCUAUCAUGAGACUUACACAAUUUGUAUUUUCCAGCUUUAAAAUAAGCUUUAAAGUUUGAGACUUUAUUUGUCUGAGCGAGGAAAAUGCUUCCUUCUUUGUUAGACGUUUUGUUGUUUAUUGAACACCUAAGAAAAAGCCAUUUGACAAAGAUCCAAAUGUUUACUCUCCAGUGACAGAGGCCCAAUCAGAGUGUGCCUCGUGGGGGAAUUUGUGUCCUAGAGGGUAACGGUUGAAAGAAAAAGUCACCAGGGCUGCUCCACUGUGGUCUGCACACACAGGUCAACUUAAGAGGAAUCAGUUUUUGCUUUUUUUUUUUAAAGCCAAACAGUACAACAAGCAUUUCUGCUGAUGUGAGUGUUUCUCUGCCAGCUGGCUGUGCCGUACUGUGUGGGCCAUCUAAGGCAACUAGUGACAGUUUUGUUACUCCAGGAUUCGUUGCAGAACAGAGCCAAGAUGUGUUCUCUUCAGGUUUUCUUCAGGUUCCAGCUGACUGUGGAGAAAGUGCAAUAUGUAUCCAAAAGUAAAAAUGUCCUUCUUCCUAGAAUUGUGUUUCUGAGCCACAGGCCAGCAUUUAAAUAUAAAUACUUUGGUCACUAGAAUACAUGAGUUCCAUGAAGCAUAAAUGGUCUGACUUCAUAUAAGACAUUUGAUGAGGGCCUUAAACAUUUCCUGCAGCCCCACCCAGGAUGAGCGUGCUGAAGGCCAGCGCUGCUGGUCAGCCCCACAGAGGUUUCCACAGCGCUUUGGGGUCUUCUCUCCUCGGCUACUAAAUGGCUCCUAACACACUCGGCUCUUCUUUGAGACAAGACCAUAGGUGGGGGUUUGUGAUUGUUAUGGGUUUUGUUUGGGAGUUUGAGAUACUUGAUACAGGGCUGUAACUCCAUGGGUUUGGGCAAAGGCGUGGCCUUAGGCAUUCAUUGGUAUUUCUUAGCCAGAAGAUCUCACAGAAUGAAAAUCAACUGCCAAUAAAUAAUGCUAACAGUGUUGGCGGUGCGAGGAGAGGGCAGGGAGGGUUCAGGAGCUGGGGCCGGCAGCUCAGUGGCAUCUGGGCUGUCUCCCCUGCCCCAGGAGCAAAUCUCAGCUUGGUUGAGAGAAGACAGAGACAGCACUUUUGAUAGAAAGAGAAGCCCCCAUGAAAUUUGGGAUCUGAGUGGAGUCGUGGGAAACCAGGAAGAAAUGUCAGGAGAUGAUUAAGAUGUAUAAUAAGGUGUCCAAAACCUUUUGACAAAUACAAAUUAGAGAAAGGGAAGCAAGGGCAAGGGCCCUGAGAUGGUGCCCGGAGAACUUUAAGUGGAGCCUGUGCAGCAUCUGGGCCAAGAAAGGGACCACCUCCAUGAGAGGUGGAUGGGGCACGAGCCCCGGGCAGCCUCCACCAGGUCUCCCUAGCCCGAAAUACAGACAACCCAUCUCUUGAUCAAAAAGACGUGUCCGUGUUCCAUCCUCCUUUGUUCAGGGAAGGCUGGCUGUGAGAUCUUUUGGAAGAAAUCUCCUCUCACCACAACAAAAGCAGGAGAACCUUGGCCCGUGAUUCCACAGCACAAGGAAGACACGCAAUUAGCUUCACUGCAAAGUGCUCCCAGAUGAAACUGGAAACACAACAAAUAAAAUCAUUAGCCAUCAGAAUUGGAAUUACCUUCCAAGGCUCAUGCUUGUACUUUUCUCUCGCUGGCUGUCUCUCUGACUCUCUUUCUCUGAUUCUCUCUCUCUUUCUCUCUCUCUGACUCUCUCUCUGUCUCUCUCUCCCUCUCUCUGCCUCUUUAUCUCUGUCUGUCCCUUUCUGUCCCUCCAUCUCUGUCUUCCCCUUCUGUUUCUCUUUUCCCUCUCUUUCUCUCUUCCUAUCUUCCUCCCUCUUCCUCUUUCUCCUCUCUCCUUCUCUCUGUUUCCCAAACACCACUCUCAAUGGUGCUAAUGACUAUAUGGAAACUGAGUCCUGUGCCUGUGUGUGGGAGAAGAAGGCAGCAGACAGGAGGAUGCCCAGGAGCACAGAGGAGUGGAGUGCAUUCGCAGGACAAGCACAAGAAAGCCGAGAGUGCUGACGCCUCUCAGGCUGCCCACUGCCACACUGCCACCGCGAACCACCUGCUACAGCAGCCACACUCCAUCGAGGCAGAGAGGGCCAUGCACCUGCUGCAGACAGCAAGAGUGGAAGAACCUGGGAAGCUCUCUGCCAAUGCUCACAGCUGUCCUGGAAGAGGGAGUGGGGCCACCCAGCCCAGCUCAACUGCCCGGUAGAGCUCAAUUCCAUAGACGGUGGUCUCUGGGGACAGAGUGCCCCUCAGCUCCCAGGAAUGUGCCUGCCUGCUUCCCUCCCCGUGACACUUCCCUCCUCAGCUGGACAUGCGCUGACGUCCACUUGUGAUGUGUUUAGCUUCACUGCAUGCCCAUGAGAGCCACGUGACCCUCAGCAGGACUUAUGAAGAUGUAACAUUGGACAUGGUAACAGAACAACCACACGAGAAUAAUCUCACAAGAUGGCCCAUCCCCAACAGGCUAGCACCUGGAACACCCUGGACACAUGUGUUUCCUGCUGGAACAGUGACUGAGGGGACACUAAGGUCCCCCCAUCGGUGUGGGGUGUAUGGGAACUCUCUGUACUAUCUUUGUAAUUUUUCUGUAAAUGUAAAACUCUUAUAAGAAAUGAAGUUUAUUUUU
Molecule: long non-coding RNA, 4050 nt
Filed under: Homo sapiens (human)
Lineage: Eukaryota; Metazoa; Chordata; Mammalia; Primates; Hominidae
Description: HSALNT0049556
Source: RNAcentral